RNAcentral lists this microRNA precursor (74 nucleotides) under Pteropus vampyrus (large flying fox). RNAcentral's name for it is "miRNA (ENSPVAG00000028914.1)". The record is from RNAcentral. Lineage: Eukaryota; Metazoa; Chordata; Mammalia; Chiroptera; Pteropodidae.
CCGUUUUCAGGUCCCUGUUCGGGCGCCACUUGUUGGAAGCCAGCUGACGAAGUAAUUGAGGGCACCUGAAAGGG